AGAUUGUACCCACAUUUACUUGGAUAACUGUGGUAAUUCUAGAGCUAAUACAUGCAAACUAGAAUUCCGACCAGAGAUGGAAGGAAUGCUUUUAUUAGAUCAAAACCAAUCGGUGGUAUAUAAUUUCGGUUAUAUAUCCAUCGUUAAUUUUGAUGACUCUGAAUAACUUUGUGCUGAUCGCAUUGGUCUUUGUACCGGCGACGAAUCUUUCAAAUGUCUGCCUUAUCAACUGUCGAUGGUAGGUUCUAUGCCUACCAUGGUUGUAACGGGUAACGGGGAAUCAGGGUUCGAUUCCGGAGAGGGAGCCUGAGAAACGGCUACCACAUCCAAGGAAGGCAGCAGGCGCGCAAAUUACCCACUCCCGGCACGGGGAGGUAGUGACAAAAAAUAACGAUACGGGACUCAUCCGAGGCCCCGUAAUCGGAAUGAGUACACUUUAAAGCCUUUAACGAGGAUCAAUUGGAGGGCAAGUCUGGUGCCAGCAGCCGCGGUAAUUCCAGCUCCAAUAGCGUAUAUUAAAGUUGUUGCGGUUAAAAAGCUCGUAGUUGAAUUUGUGUCACAUCCUGUUGGUUCACCACUCGUGGUGUUUAACUGACAUGUUGAUGGGACGUCCUACCGGUGGAUUUAGCUUUUUUUAUAUUUUCUUUUUAUUUGUUAUUUUCUUUCGAGUUAAUUUCAAUUUAAAGUAAAAUAUAUUUAAAGCGAUCCAACUAAUAUCCGUCGCGGUGCUCUUUACUGAGUGUCGAGGUGGGCCGGUACGUUUACUUUGAACAAAUUAGAGUGCUUAAAGCAGGCUUUUGCCUGAAUACUGUGUGCAUGGAAUAAUAGAAUAGGACCUCGGUUCUAUUUUGUUGGUUUUCGGAACCCCGAGGUAAUGAUUAAUAGGGACAGAUGGGGGCAUUCGUAUUGCGACGUUAGAGGUGAAAUUCUUGGAUCGUCGCAAGACGAACAGAAGCGAAAGCAUUUGCCAAAAAUGUUUUCAUUAAUCAAGAACGAAAGUUAGAGGUUCGAAGGCGAUCAGAUACCGCCCUAGUUCUAACCAUAAACGAUGCCAGCUAGCGAUCCGCCGAAGUUCCUCCGAUGACUCGGCGGGCAGCUUCCGGGAAACCAAAGCUUUUGGGUUCCGGGGGAAGUAUGGUUGCAAAGCUGAAACUUAAAGGAAUUGACGGAAGGGCACCACCAGGAGUGGAGCCUGCGGCUUAAUUUGACUCAACACGGGAAAUCUCACCAGGCCCGGACACCGGAAGGAUUGACAGAUUGAUAGCUCUUUCUUGAUUCGGUGGGUGGUGGUGCAUGGCCGUUCUUAGUUGGUGGAGCGAUUUGUCUGGUUAAUUCCGAUAACGAACGAGACUCUAGCCUGCUAAAUAGGCGUAUUUAUGGUAUCUCGAAGAUUAUUAUGUUUCAUUAGUGGUAUUAUUUUUAUAUAUAAUAUAUCUUUCCGGGUUAUUAGAGGGACAGGCGGCUUUUAGCCGCACGAGAUUGAGCAAUAACAGGUCUGUGAUGCCCUUAGAUGUUCUGGGCCGCACGCGCGCUACACUGAAGGAAUCAACGUGUUUUCCCUGGCCGAAAGGCCCGGGUAACCCGCUGAAUCUCCUUCGUGCUAGGGAUUGGGGCUUGAAAUUAUUCCCCAUGAACGAGGAAUUCCCAGUAAGCGCGAGUCAUAAGCUCGCGUUGAUUACGUCCCUGCCCUUUGUACACACCGCCCGUCGCUACUACCGAUUGAAUGAUUUAGUGAGGUCUUCGGGCUAAUAACGCGGCAGUGCCUCGGCACUGCCGAUGUUGCCGGGAAGAUGACCAAACUUGAUCAUUUAGAGGAAGUA
This 1820-nucleotide ribosomal RNA is filed under the name Lipolexis gracilis. RNAcentral describes it as "SSU rRNA". It matches the Rfam family "Eukaryotic small subunit ribosomal RNA". The record is from RNAcentral. Lineage: Eukaryota; Metazoa; Arthropoda; Insecta; Hymenoptera; Braconidae.